Molecule: ribosomal RNA, 569 nt
Filed under: uncultured bacterium
Lineage: Bacteria
Description: bacterial SSU rRNA
Rfam family: Bacterial small subunit ribosomal RNA
Source: RNAcentral
UCCUUCGGGGGUGGUUCAGUGGCGAACGGGUGCGUAACACGUGAGCAAUCUGCCUUGGGGUGGGGGAUAACCCGUGGAAACGCGGGCUAAUACCGCAUGUCGUCACGAUCCCGCAUGGGGAUGUGACGAAAGGGGCUUAACGGCCCUGCCCUGAGAGGAGCUCGCGGCGUAUCAGCUAGCUGGUGGGGUAACGGCCUACCAGGGCAACGACGCGUAGCCGAUCUGAGAGGAUGAUCGGCCACAUUGGGACUGAGAUACGGCCCAGACUCCUACGGGAGGCAGCAGUGGGGAAUCUUGCGCAAUGGGCGAAAGCCUGACGCAGCGACGCCGCGUGGGGGAGGAAGCUCUUCGGAGUGUAAACCCCUGUCAGGAGGGAAGAACGGGCGCGCCAGGAAAUGGGUGCGUUUUGACGGUACCUCCAAAGGAAGCACCGGCUAACUCUGUGCCAGCAGCCGCGGUAAUACAGAGGGUGCGAGCGUUGUUCGGAAUUACUGGGCGUAAAGCGCGCGCAGGCGGUCCUUUAAGUCUACCCGUGAAAUGCCGGAGCUCAACUCCGUGCACGCCGGGGG